This 467-nucleotide ribosomal RNA is filed under the name uncultured bacterium. RNAcentral's name for it is "partial 16S ribosomal RNA". It matches the Rfam family "Bacterial small subunit ribosomal RNA", at positions 28 to 507 of the family's 1533-position model. The record is from RNAcentral.
GACGAACGCUGGCGGCGUGCUUAACACAUGCAAGUCGAACGGACAGACCUCUUUCGGGGGGUACUCGAGUGGCGAACGGGUGAGUAACACGUGAGUAACCUGCCCUUCACUUUGGGAUAACUUCCUGCAACUGGGGCUAGUACCGGAUAGGAGCUCCUGCGGACUGGUUGGGGUUGGAAAGUUUCGGGGGGUUGGAAUGGACUCGCGGCUUAUCCGCUUGGUGGUGGGGUAGUGGCUUACCAAGGCUUUGACGGGUAGCCGGCCAGAGAGGGUGACAGGCGAUAUUGGGACUGAGAGACGGCACAGACUCCGACGGGAGGCAGCAGUGGGGAAUAUUGAACAAGGAGUGGCAGCCGGAUGCAGCAACGCUGCGGGCGGGAUGACGCCCUUAGGGUUGUAAACCGUUUGCGCUCAUGACGAAGCUUUGUGUGACGGUAGUGGGUAAAGAAGCACCGGCUAACUACGUG